RNAcentral lists this ribosomal RNA (200 nucleotides) under uncultured bacterium. RNAcentral's name for it is "partial 16S ribosomal RNA". It matches the Rfam family "Bacterial small subunit ribosomal RNA", at positions 524 to 723 of the family's 1533-position model. The record is from RNAcentral.
UACGGAGGGUCCAAGCGUUAUCCGGAUUUAUUGGGUUUAAAGGGUCCGUAGGCGGGCUUAUAAGUCAGAGGUGAAAUCCCAUCGCUCAACGAUGGAACUGCCUUUGAUACUGUAGGUCUUGAAUAUAUUUGAAGUAGGCGGAAUAUGUAGUGUAGCGGUGAAAUGCAUAGAUAUUACAUAGAACACCAAUUGCGAAGGCA